This 1044-nucleotide ribosomal RNA is filed under the name human gut metagenome. RNAcentral's name for it is "bacterial SSU rRNA". It matches the Rfam family "Bacterial small subunit ribosomal RNA", at positions 8 to 1076 of the family's 1533-position model. The record is from RNAcentral.
AGAGUUUGAUCCUGGCUCAGGAUGAACGCUGGCGGCGUGCUUAACACAUGCAAGUCGAACGAUUAAGACGGCUUCGGCCGUGUAUAGAGUGGCGAACGGGUGAGUAACACGUGACCAACCUGCCCCGCGCUCCGGGACAACCGCUGGAAACGGCGGCUAAUACCGGAUGCUCCGGGGAGGCCCCAUGGCCUCCCCGGGAAAGCCUUGACGGCGCGGGAUGGGGUCGCGGCCCAUUAGGUAGACGGCGGGGUAACGGCCCACCGUGCCCGCGAUGGGUAGCCGGACUGAGAGGUCGACCGGCCACAUUGGGACUGAGAUACGGCCCAGACUCCUACGGGAGGCAGCAGUGGGGAAUUUUGCGCAAUGGGGGAAACCCUGACGCAGCAACGCCGCGUGCGGGACGAAGGCCUUCGGGUUGUAAACCGCUUUCAGCAGGGAAGAUUCAGACGGUACCUGCAGAAGAAGCUCCGGCUAACUACGUGCCAGCAGCCGCGGUAAUACGUAGGGGGCGAGCGUUAUCCGGAUUCAUUGGGCGUAAAGCGCGCGUAGGCGGCCGCCUAAGCGGAACCUCUAAUCCCGGGGCUCAACCUCGGGCCGGGUUCCGGACUGGGCGGCUCGAGUGCGGUAGAGGCAGGCGGAAUUCCCGGUGUAGCGGUGGAAUGCGCAGAUAUCGGGAAGAACACCGAUGGCGAAGGCAGCCUGCUGGGCCGCCACUGACGCUGAGGCGCGAAAGCUGGGGGAGCGAACAGGAUUAGAUACCCUGGUAGUCCCAGCCGUAAACGAUGGACGCUAGGUGUGGGGGGACCAUCCCCCCGUGCCGCAGCCAACGCAUUAAGCGUCCCGCCUGGGGAGUACGGCCGCAAGGCUAAAACUCAAAGGAAUUGACGGGGGCCCGCACAAGCAGCGGAGCAUGUGGCUUAAUUCGAAGCAACGGGAAGAAGCUUACCAGGGCUUGACAUGCGAGUGAAGCGGCGGAGACGCGGGGGCCGAGAGGAGCUCGCGCAGGUGGUGCAUGGCUGUCGUCAGCUGGUGUCGUGAGAUGUU